Molecule: ribosomal RNA, 497 nt
Filed under: uncultured bacterium
Lineage: Bacteria
Description: partial 16S ribosomal RNA
Rfam family: Bacterial small subunit ribosomal RNA
Source: RNAcentral
GAUGAACGCUGGCGGCGUGCCUAAUACAUGCAAGUCGAGCGAACAGAUGAGGAGCUUGCUCCUCUGACGUUAGCGGCGGACGGGUGAGUAACACGUGGAUAACCUACCUAUAAGACUGGGAUAACUUCGGGAAACCGGAGCUAAUACCGGAUAAUAUAUUGAACCGCAUGGUUCAAUAGUGAAAUACGGUUUUGCUGUCACUUAUAGAUGGAUCCGCGCCGCAUUAGCUAGUUGGUAAGGUAACGGCUUACCAAGGCAACGAUGCGUAGCCGACCUGAGAGGGUGAUCGGCCACACUGGAACGGAGACACGGUCCAGACUCCUACGGGAGGCAGCAGUAGGGAAUCUUCCGCAAUGGGCGAAAGCCUGACGGAGCAACGCCGCGUGAGUGAUGAAGGUCUUCGGAUCGUAAAACUCUGUUAUUAGGGAAGAACAAAUGUGUAAGUAACUAUGCACGUCUUGACGGUACCUAAUCAGAAAGCCACGGCUAACUACGUG